GUCUAUGGCCAUUCUACCCUGAACAAGCCUGAUCCCGUCCGAUCUCGGAAGCUAAGCAGAGUUGAGCCUGGUUAGUACUUGGAUGGGAGACCACCUAUGAAGACCCAGGUGCUGUAUGUA
Pteropus vampyrus (large flying fox) is the source of this 120-nucleotide ribosomal RNA. NCBI's taxonomy places the organism in Eukaryota, Metazoa, Chordata, Mammalia, Chiroptera, Pteropodidae. The record is from Ensembl.